RNAcentral lists this ribosomal RNA (163 nucleotides) under Festuca ovina. RNAcentral's name for it is "5.8S ribosomal RNA". It matches the Rfam family "5.8S ribosomal RNA". From Rfam's summary of the family: 5.8S ribosomal RNA (5.8S rRNA) is a component of the large subunit of the eukaryotic ribosome. It is transcribed by RNA polymerase I as part of the 45S precursor that also contains 18S and 28S rRNA. Functionally, it is thought that 5.8S rRNA may be involved in ribosome translocation. The record is from RNAcentral. Lineage: Eukaryota; Viridiplantae; Streptophyta; Magnoliopsida; Poales; Poaceae.
AUCCACACGACUCUCGGCAACGGAUAUCUCGGCUCUCGCAUCGAUGAAGAACGUAGCGAAAUGCGAUACCUGGUGUGAAUUGCAGAAUCCCGCGAACCAUCGAGUCUUUGAACGCAAGUUGCGCCCGAGGCCAUCUGGCCGAGGGCACGCCUGCCUGGGCGUC